RNAcentral lists this ribosomal RNA (500 nucleotides) under uncultured bacterium. Its description in RNAcentral is "partial 16S ribosomal RNA". It matches the Rfam family "Bacterial small subunit ribosomal RNA", at positions 30 to 523 of the family's 1533-position model. The record is from RNAcentral.
AUUGAACGCUGGCGGCAUGCCUAACACAUGCAAGUCGAACGCGAAAGAGGGGCAACCCUUGAGUAGAGUGGCGGACGGGUGAGUAAUACGUAGGAAUCUUCCUUAAAGUGGGGGAUAACCCGGGGAAACUCGGGCUAAUACCGCAUAAUUUCUGAGGAAAAAAGGAGGGGACCCUUCGGGGCCUUUCGCUUUAAGAUGAGCCUACGCCGGAUUAGCUAGUUGGUAGGGUAAAGGCCUACCAAGGCAACGAUCCGUAGCUGGUUUGAGAGAACGGCCAGCCACACUGGGACUGAGAUACGGCCAGACUCCGACGGGAGGCAGCAGUGGGGAAUAUUGGACAAUGGGGGAAACCCUGAUUCAGCAAUGCCGCGUGUAUGAUGAAGGCCUGCGGGUUGUAAAGUACUUUCGUUGGGAAAGAAAUACUCAAAGCUAAUAUCUUUGAGGGUUGACGUUACCCAAAGAAGAAGCACCGGCUAACUCUGUGCCAGCAGCCGCAGUAA